Dromaius novaehollandiae (emu) is the source of this 1383-nucleotide long non-coding RNA. RefSeq lists it as uncharacterized. Lineage: Eukaryota; Metazoa; Chordata; Aves; Casuariiformes; Dromaiidae. The record is from RefSeq and is a predicted model, not a curated record. The transcript is spliced from 4 exons.
CCCCUCCAGCGUUCACAGGCGGCGGCGGCGGCGCGCCAUGGCCGCUCGCCUCGCCUCGGUGCGGCGCGGCCAGCGGCAGUGGCAGGAGCAGGGCGCCCGCCUCGGCGCGGCCGCAGGGACUCGGGCAGCCCGUCGUGGGGAAGGAGCAGGAGGAGGAGGAGGAGCGACCACCGCCCUGCGCCAGAUAUUAGAAACUUCAAGAAAAUUGAAACCAAGGAAAAAUGCAGAGACUGACUAAAUCUGUCUGGAGGGAGCAGCUGUAAAAGCUGUCAAGACAAACAUCAAUUCAGCAUAUGAUCUUGCUGUCUCAGAGUGCAGUCUCUGAAAUCAGCCAGUUCUUCUAAAGGUCAGACCAGAGGCCAGAUAACUCUGCCGAAACACUGAAUUAAAGAAGAUUUUUCAGCUUCAGUCACAGGACACAGGAAAGAAAAGAAAUCAAGAUCUUUCCAAACCCAUAGCCACAUUCUGAAAAGUAAUUUAAAACUUAUUUUUAACUGACCAGAUUGAUAUUCUAGUACUAAAACACAAAGUUAUUCAGUGAUGUUAAAAUUAUUCUAGAAGUAGGACAGGAAAACCCAAAACCUCAAAGAAAAAAAAGAGUCUUCAAAAACACCUUUGGGGUUUUGAAAGGAAAUUUUAUUAGCAAAAUAUCGCAUAUUCUCCUAAUGUAGAAACAUUUUAAAAGUGAAUUACUAGUUGCUUUUAAUAGUUUAAUCUGGAAUCCAGCACUUCUGAUAAUGCCACUUGAUUGGCCCACUCUUUCACUUCUAAAACAAGCACCUUCUAAUAUCAGAGCUGUUCUGACGGUCUCUCUUGUAUCCUUGUUAAAAUCUUCUUGCUUAAUUGUUACUAUUCUUCUUCUAGCCCUGGCACAGCAUAACGUAAUAUUUACUGGAAGUUUCUUUAAAAUUCUGUAUUUUAUACUGACUAUAACUCUGACAGUGUGUUAAAGCAAGACACUGCUAUUUUUAGUCUUUGUUUCUGAAGCAAUAGGUUCCAAAUGAACAGUGAGCCUCAAGAGGCAGCAACAGUUUUCUGUAGUAGUGAACACAGUAACGAAAGUCAGUUGAAGUGCUUUUACCUCCCCUGCAAGUUAAAUGUCUUGGAUGUAAGUGUUCUACGAGGAAUUCUGAAAGCAGAACUACUAGCACAACCAUUAUAGAAAUUUAACUGAAAAGACUGAAUUGCUAAGUAACUUUAGCUUUUUUACCUCUCCAAUACAUCAACAAAAUGGACUUCAACAGCAACAACAAAAAGUAUCCAACUGACUCCAAAGGUCACUCACUAUUCUAACACAUCCCAUCUCCUAUUUAUAAACUCAGAUCUACAUAUCCAUCUUGUGUUACCACAGCCAGAUAAUCUAGUCCUUCCUGCAAUAAAUAU